This 255-nucleotide ribosomal RNA is filed under the name uncultured bacterium. Its description in RNAcentral is "partial 16S ribosomal RNA". It matches the Rfam family "Bacterial small subunit ribosomal RNA", at positions 524 to 777 of the family's 1533-position model. The record is from RNAcentral.
UACGAAGGGGGCUAGCGUUGUUCGGAAUUACUGGGCGUAAAGGGCGCGUAGGCGGUGUGUCAAGUCAGGCGUGAAAGCCCCGGGCUCAACCUGGGAACCGCGCUUGAGACUGGCACGCUAGAGUUCGGGAGAGGAUGGUGGAAUUCCCAGUGUAGAGGUGAAAUUCGUAGAUAUUGGGAAGAACACCGGAUGGCGAAGGCAGCCAUCUGGACCGACACUGACGCUGAGGCGCGAAAGCGUGGGGAGCAAACAGGG